This 1683-nucleotide long non-coding RNA is filed under the name Anthonomus grandis grandis. RNAcentral describes it as "uncharacterized LOC126750412". The record is from RNAcentral. Lineage: Eukaryota; Metazoa; Arthropoda; Insecta; Coleoptera; Curculionidae.
AAGUAUUCCUAUGAAAAUGUUUUAAUAUAUGUUAAUUAGUGAAUAAGAAAAUUAAGAAUUUUAAGCGGCAUAAAAUAAUGGAAACGAUGCCACGCAAAAGAAAACCGUUGAUCGUUCAUAGGCGGCAUUGCUUUGGAAUUUGGCAGAGUUUGAAAUUUGGAGGUCUGCAAAAAACAGGGAGGUAGAUGAUGCUGUUCAUCGAAGAAAGAAAUGUGCUAAUGGGGAAGAAUUUAUUUACUAUAAUUGUAAUAGAAGUGAUUCAAAAGGAUAUGUCAGUACAUGUUUGCAACGGAAUUUAAAGUCUAAAGGAAGCAUUCGUAUGCAAGGAAUUUGUCCAUCAAGAAUAAUAGUUAAAAUUAGUUUAAUAUACACGCGUCCCGUAGUUAUUCUCUUUUUUGCUAAGUUUUACUGAGAUCAAAUUGACCUAUAUAAGUAAUUUUUGUUACAGUAUUUGUAAAGUUUGUUCUAGUGAAUAGUUAACUUGAAAUUCAGGUCUAGCUUCUAAGUUUCAAGUAAUUAGAACAUUAAAGAUAGUCAAUGGAUUCCCAUUGUAUUCCGAUAUACUGAUAUACGUACAUACCUACAAUAAUUAUAACAAUACAUGGGAAUUUUUUGGCCGUCUCGUCGCAUCGCACACCUGUAGAAUAUCGAACUGUAGUGCAGUGGUUUUUGGUUUUCAAGGUAUUUAUUUUGGUUAACUCUAGUGCGGUAUAUUUGGUUUUUUGGUUCGAUAUGCCUUCUUCAUCAGACGAUUGUGAUAUUUGCCGAAGAAUGUGGGAGACAACGAUGAAGCUCUCUGUUGUGACCAUUGUGAAAAAUGGUCACACAGAGAGUGUUUAAAGUUAAGUAAAACGGCUUUCAAGAAGGUGGAGCGAUCUAAUUCCUUAUGGAAAUGUAAUAAAUGUUCAAACCCGUCCAGAGAUGCUACAGAGUCUAAAAACACAUAUUCAAUAGCCAACGUAAUGGCUAAGCUCUCAGAAAUGGAAAUUAAAUUUAACAAGCUAUUUGAUAAAUAUGAAGAGCAGGUUAAUAUCAAUGCAGAACUUAAAAAAGAAAUCUAUAUCAUAAAGAGGCAGUUGAAUAAAAGAGAGCAACAUGAAUUAAAGAAUAAUGUUGUUAUACACGGAGUUCCCUUUAAAAAUAAUGAAAAUGUCGCUGAGAUUGUCAAGAAAAUUGCUAAUGUACUAAAAGUCCCUCAUAAUAAAGUCCAGAAAGCCUAUAGAUUAGGAUUAGGCAAGAGAGAAGUUCGUUACCAAUUAAAGUUGUUUUUGAUGAUCCAGAGCAAAAAAAAGAAUGGAUGAUGAAUAAAAAAAACACAACUGUAACGACUGAUAAAAUAAUUGGACAAGUUAAUCAGCCGGAACCUAUAUAUAUAAAUCAUGACCUCACAAAACAAAACUUUGAACUGUUUAAAAAGGCGAAACAAUUUAAAAAUUCUAAUGGUUAUAAGUAUUUGUGGGUUGGCCAAGAUGGAAGUAUUUUGAUGCGUAAAACUGAUUGACAGUAGUAAAGUGUGUAAUUGGAUUUGUAUUGCUGUGGGUAAUAAAGAUCUUAAAAUUAGUAUUAUAUAUAGACCUCCACAAUACCAAACUAACGAUUUUCUAAAAGAAUUUGAACAAAUAAUAAAUAAAUAUUCAUCUAAUCAUAUUAUUGUAGGAGACAUGAAUGUUGAUUUACUCGAAU